AAAAAGGCUGUGAUCGGAACAAGUAGUAAUAAGUCGGAACAAACAGAAAGCAACCGGUUGAUGAGAGGUGCAUGGAAAGCUUAUUAUGAAUACAUCCGGGAGCUUUGCACCGAAAUACGGUAGGCUGCAACGGUUGACACUCGUUAUUGUGUUAUAGUAUUCGAUACUUAGAAAGACAGUUUAUGUGAAUAAACUGUAAAUUAAGGUGGUAACACGGGUUAACAUACUCGUCCUUAUC
RNAcentral lists this non-coding RNA (238 nucleotides) under Eubacterium plexicaudatum. RNAcentral's name for it is "T-box sequence". It matches the Rfam family "T-box leader". Rfam says of the family: Uncharged tRNA acts as the effector for transcription antitermination of genes in the T-box leader family. T-boxes are found upstream of many aminoacyl-tRNA synthetase genes and some amino acid biosynthetic genes usually in Gram-positive bacteria. The record is from RNAcentral. Lineage: Bacteria; Bacillati; Bacillota; Clostridia; Eubacteriales; Eubacteriaceae.